AGCAGCCGCGGUAAUUCCAGCUCCAAUAGCGUAUAUUAAAGUUGUUGCAGUUAAAAAGCUCGUAGUUGAAUUUCGGGAUUAGUACGCUGGUCGUGCCUUGUGUAUGUACUGGUGUUACUGGUUCCUACCUUCUGACGAACCGUCAUGUCAUUAAUUUGGUGUGGCGGGGAAUCAGGACUGUUACUUUGAAAAAUUAGAGUGUUUAAAGCAGGCCCGCGCUUGAAUACAUUAGCAUGGAAUAAUGAAAUAGGACGUUCGAUCCUAUUUUGUUGGUUUCUAGGAUUGACGUAAUGAUUAAUAGGGAUAGUUGGGGGCAUUAGUAUUCAAUUGUCAGAGGUGAGAUUCUUGGAUUUAUUGAAGACUAACUACUGCGAAAGCAUUUGCCAAGGAUGUUUUCAUUAAUCAAGAACGAAAGUUAGGGGAUCGAAGACGAUCAGAUACCGUCGUAGUCUUAACCAUAAACUAUGCCGACUAGGGAUCGGAUGAUGUUAUUUUUAAUGA
Molecule: small RNA, 501 nt
Filed under: uncultured Glomus
Lineage: Eukaryota; Fungi; Glomeromycota; Glomeromycetes; Glomerales; Glomeraceae
Description: SSU rRNA
Rfam family: Eukaryotic small subunit ribosomal RNA
Source: RNAcentral